This 253-nucleotide ribosomal RNA is filed under the name uncultured bacterium. Its description in RNAcentral is "partial 16S ribosomal RNA". It matches the Rfam family "Bacterial small subunit ribosomal RNA", at positions 524 to 776 of the family's 1533-position model. The record is from RNAcentral.
GACGGAGGGUGCUAGCGUUGUUCGGAUUUACUGGGCGUAAAGCGCACGUAGGCGGAUUGUUAAGUCGGGGGUGAAAUCCUGGAGCUCAACUCCAGAAUUGCCUUCGAUACUGGCUUUCUAGAGGCUGGAAGAGGUUAGUGGAAUUCCCAGUGUAGAGGUGAAAUUCGUAGAUAUUGGGAAGAACACCAGUGGCGAAGGCGGCUAACUGGUCCAGAUCUAACGCUGAGGUGCGAAAGCGUGGGGAGCAAACAGG